Molecule: ribosomal RNA, 404 nt
Filed under: uncultured bacterium
Lineage: Bacteria
Description: bacterial SSU rRNA
Rfam family: Bacterial small subunit ribosomal RNA
Source: RNAcentral
UGAGGAAUUUUGGACAAUGGGCGAAAGCCUGAUCCAGCAACGCCGCGUGGGUGAUGAAGGCCCUCGGGUUGUAAAGCCCUUUCGGGAGGAACGAGAAAGGACGGUACCUCCAGAAGAAGAACCGGCUAACUCCGUGCCAGCAGCCGCGGUAAGACGGAGGGUGCAAGCGUUGUCCGGAAUUACUGGGCGUAAAGCAGGUGCAGGCGGCUCGUUAUGUCGGGUGUGAAAUCCCAGGACUCAAUUCUGGAACUGCGCCCGAAACUGGCGAGCUUGAGUGCGGGAGGGGGUGGCGGAAUUCCCGGUGUAGAGGUGAAAUUCGUAGAUAUCGGGAGGAAUACCGGUGGCGAAGGCGACCACCUGGCCCGUAACUGACGCUGAGACCUGAAAGCGUGGGUAGCAAACGG